AAAAGGAAUGUGGUAGGAUAAGACAUCUCUAAGUGCUUCUUGUGCCAAUGAUCGGAAGGAUAAAAUUACACCAAUUAUUGUCAUCCUCUUCAAGACACUGUCAACAGAUGAUAAUCUUUUAAACAGUGCAGCCAUCUGGUCUGGUUUGUCAAAGCUGGUCCUCAUUUGUGUUAACACAUCAACAUUCUCCACCACAAGUUUCUUAAGUUCAGCAACUUGUGAUGAAAUAUGCCACAUAAGGCUUUCACUUAGAAACUUCAUACCAUA
RNAcentral lists this unclassified non-coding RNA (267 nucleotides) under Hevea brasiliensis (rubber tree). The record is from RNAcentral. Lineage: Eukaryota; Viridiplantae; Streptophyta; Magnoliopsida; Malpighiales; Euphorbiaceae.